This 253-nucleotide ribosomal RNA is filed under the name uncultured bacterium. RNAcentral's name for it is "partial 16S ribosomal RNA". It matches the Rfam family "Bacterial small subunit ribosomal RNA", at positions 524 to 776 of the family's 1533-position model. The record is from RNAcentral.
UACGAAGGGGGCUAGCGUUGUUCGGAAUUACUGGGCGUAAAGCGCACGUAGGCGGGUUGUUAAGUCAGGGGUGAAAUCCUGGAGCUCAACUCCAGAACUGCCUUUGAUACUGGCAACCUAGAGACUGGAAGAGGUUAGUGGAAUUCCCAGUGUAGAGGUGAAAUUCGUAGAUAUUCGCAAGAACACCAGUGGCGAAGGCGGCUCACUGGCCCGGUACUGACGCUGAGGUGCGAAAGCGUGGGGAGCAAACAGG